This 253-nucleotide ribosomal RNA is filed under the name uncultured bacterium. Its description in RNAcentral is "partial 16S ribosomal RNA". It matches the Rfam family "Bacterial small subunit ribosomal RNA", at positions 524 to 776 of the family's 1533-position model. The record is from RNAcentral.
UACAGAGGGGGCAAGCGUUAUUCGGAAUUAUUGGGCGUAAAGGGCGCGUAGGCGGUGAUUCAAGUUGGAUGUGUAAUCCCCGAGCUCAACUUGGGAACUGCAUCCAAGACUGGAUUGCUAGAGUGCUGGAGAGGGUGGUGGAAUUCCUCGUGUAGCGGUGAAAUGCGUAGAGAUGAGGAGGAACACCAGUGGCGAAGGCGGCCACCUGGACAGUAACUGACGCUGAGGCGCGAAAGUGUGGGGAGCAAACAGG